This 345-nucleotide ribosomal RNA is filed under the name uncultured soil bacterium. RNAcentral describes it as "bacterial SSU rRNA". It matches the Rfam family "Bacterial small subunit ribosomal RNA", at positions 26 to 369 of the family's 1533-position model. The record is from RNAcentral.
AGGAUGAACGCUGGCGGCGUGCUUAACACAUGCAAGUCGAACGGUGAACUUGGGAGCUUGCUCCUGGGGGAUCAGUGGCGAACGGGUGAGUAACACGUGAGUAACCUGCCCUUGACUCUGGGAUAAGCGUUGGAAACGACGUCUAAUACCGGAUACGAGCUUCAGCCGCAUGGCUAGGAGCUGGAAAGAUUUCGGUACAAGGAUGGACUCGCGGCCUAUCAGCUAGUUGGUGAGGUAACGCCCACAGGCGACGACGGUAGCCGGCCUGAGAGGGUGACCGGCCACACGUGGACUGAGACACGGACCCAGACUCCGACGGAGCGAGCGAGGUGGGAAUAGUUGCAC